AGUUUUGCGCAGAGGCUGUGUCGUAGCCAAUGAGGUUCUACCGAGGCGUGACUAUUGCUAGUUGAUAUAAAAUCAAAAUAAAAGCUACCAGUAAAACAAAAAUCGUAACAGCGAAAUCGAACCUUUUACAAAAAA
Uloborus diversus is the source of this 135-nucleotide small nuclear RNA. RefSeq annotates it as U4 spliceosomal RNA. The record is from RefSeq and is a predicted model, not a curated record. Lineage: Eukaryota; Metazoa; Arthropoda; Arachnida; Araneae; Uloboridae. The transcript has a single exon.